CUUUAAGGAUCCUGAAGGAACGUUGAAGACGACGACGUUGAUAGGCCGGGUGUGUAAGCGCAGCGAUGCGUUGAGCUAACCGGUACUAAUGAACCGUGAGGCUUAACCUUACAACGCCGAAGGUGUUU
RNAcentral lists this ribosomal RNA (128 nucleotides) under Escherichia coli. Its description in RNAcentral is "partial 23S ribosomal RNA". The stretch from base 1 to 110 matches the Rfam family "Bacterial large subunit ribosomal RNA", at positions 2811 to 2925 of the family's 2925-position model. Lineage: Bacteria; Pseudomonadati; Pseudomonadota; Gammaproteobacteria; Enterobacterales; Enterobacteriaceae. The record is from RNAcentral.